This is a non-coding RNA of Phascolarctos cinereus (koala), 186 nucleotides long. The record is from RefSeq and is a predicted model, not a curated record. Lineage: Eukaryota; Metazoa; Chordata; Mammalia; Diprotodontia; Phascolarctidae.
UUCAAAUCUUGCCUCUGACACUUACUAGCUGGGUGAUCAUAGAAUCUGAGGGAGGCCCUGGCCCAGAGGAGAGAGUUCUGACUCUGGAGUUGGAGGGUUUGAGUCCAGAUCCUGACUGCAGCUACCUAAGUGUGGGAUGUUGGGGUGAAGUGACUUGCCCGGGGUCACACAGUUAGUAAGUGGCAA